GAAGAAAGAGGGAGGAGGGAGGAAAAUAGGAAAGUCGAACGGAAAGGUGCUGCUUUUGUGGGGUGUUUGAGUGGCGAAAGGGUGAGUAAAACGUGAGUAAAGUGAGUUUGACUUUGGGAUAACUUCAGGAAAAUGGGGCUAAUACCGGAUAGGAGCUCCUGCUGCAUGGUGGGGGUUGGAAAGUUUCGGCGGUUGGGGAUGGACUCGCGGCUUAUCAGCUUGUUGGUGGGGUAGUGGCUUACCAAGGCUUUGAUGGGUAGCCGGCCUGAGAGGGUGACCGGCCACAUUGGGACUGAGAUACGGCCCAGACUCCUACGGGAGGCAGCAUUGGGGAAUAUUGCACAAUGGGCGGAAGCCUGAUGCAGCAACGCCGCGUACCAGAUUCCUUCCUUCGAUUUGUAAACCGCUUUCGCCUUUGACCAAGCGUGAGUGACGGUAAUGGGUAAAGAAGCACCAACUCACUACGUC
This 468-nucleotide ribosomal RNA is filed under the name uncultured bacterium. Its description in RNAcentral is "partial 16S ribosomal RNA". It matches the Rfam family "Bacterial small subunit ribosomal RNA", at positions 38 to 507 of the family's 1533-position model. The record is from RNAcentral.